Molecule: ribosomal RNA, 397 nt
Filed under: uncultured bacterium
Lineage: Bacteria
Description: partial 16S ribosomal RNA
Rfam family: Bacterial small subunit ribosomal RNA
Source: RNAcentral
AUACGUAGGUGACAAGCGUUAUCCGGAUUUACUGGGCGUAAAGGGCGUGUAGGCGGUCUUGCAAGUCAGAAGUGAAAUUCCUGAGCUCAACUCGGGCGCUGCUUCUGAAACUGCAGGACUUGAGUGCUGGAGGGGAUAGCGGAAUUCCCGGUGUAGCGGUGAAAUGCGUAGAGAUCGGGAGGAACACCAGUGGCGAAGGCGGGUAACUGGACUGUAACUGACGCUGAGGCGCGAAAGUGUGGGGAGCAAACAGGAUUAGAUACCCUGGUAGUCCACACCGUAAACGAUGAAUGCUAGGUGUAGGGGGUAUCGACCCCUUCUGUGCCGCAGUCAACACAAUAAGCAUUCCGCCUGGGGAGUACGGCCGCAAGGUUGAAACUCAAAUGAAUUGGCGGGG